This is a long non-coding RNA of Aphidius gifuensis, 174 nucleotides long. RefSeq lists it as uncharacterized. The transcript is spliced from 3 exons. The record is from RefSeq and is a predicted model, not a curated record. Lineage: Eukaryota; Metazoa; Arthropoda; Insecta; Hymenoptera; Braconidae.
GGAGCUGGAGCAGAGGUUAUCUGGAGAACCCACCGUCCCUGUUGCAGAUAACCCAGAUAACACUGGUGAUGAUGACCCAGCUGCCAGGUUAGAGCAAGAGGAGCUGGAGCAGAGGUUAUCUGGAGAACCCAUCGUCCCUGUUGCAGAUAACCCAGAUAACACUGGUGAUGAGAG